GGGUAGGUACCGAAGCGGUCAAACGGGGCAGACUGUAAAUCUGCUGGCUAUGCCUUCACAGGUUCGAAUCCUGUCCUGCCCACCA
This 85-nucleotide transfer RNA is filed under the name Verrucomicrobiota bacterium. RNAcentral's name for it is "tRNA-Tyr". It matches the Rfam family "tRNA". From Rfam's summary of the family: Transfer RNA (tRNA) molecules are approximately 80 nucleotides in length. RNAcentral also lists the same sequence under 2 other names. The record is from RNAcentral. Lineage: Bacteria; Pseudomonadati; Verrucomicrobiota.